Long non-coding RNA from Carassius auratus (goldfish), 363 nucleotides. RefSeq lists it as uncharacterized. Lineage: Eukaryota; Metazoa; Chordata; Actinopteri; Cypriniformes; Cyprinidae. The transcript is spliced from 3 exons. The record is from RefSeq and is a predicted model, not a curated record.
AGCAUCUGACACAAGAAAAGUUAAACUCCUUUCAGAAAAUCAACUAUUGUAAAUGAAGGUUGAACUAUCAACUGCAUGUGAACCUCUCAAGACAAUGGUAUCUUUCAUGAAUUAAAUUCCAUGGAUGCAGUAUGGAAAAAGUUGGACAUUCCCAAUGACAUGCUGGUGUGUGGAAACAGGACUUUUCCUGGAAAUGAUCAAUUAUGCUCUGGAUGAAUGAAAACAACUCUGUAUUUUAAAGACAUGCUUAUAUUUCUGCACUGGCCAUCGGAGCGAUCCAACCCCGUGACGUCACAUGUGGUGGUACUGCAAGAUGGCGGCGCCCUUGGUCCUAAAGCUAUAACAAAACAACCAUUUUUCUUU